GACGAACGCUGGCGGCGUGCCUAAUACAUGCAAGUCGAGCGAGCGGAACCAACAGAUUUACUUCGGUAAUGACGUUGGGAAAGCGAGCGGCGGAUGGGUGAGUAACACGUGGGGAACCUGCCCCUAAGUCUGGGAUACCAUUUGGAAACUGGUGCUAAUACCGGAUAAUAAAGCAGAUCGCAUGAUCAGCUUUUGAAAGGCGGCGUAAGCUGUCGCUAAGGGAUGGCCCCGCGGUGCAUUAGCUAGUGUAGGUAACGGCUACCAAGCGACGAUGCAUAGCCGAGUUGAGAGACUGAUCGGCCACAUUGGGACUGAGACACGGCCCAA
This 327-nucleotide ribosomal RNA is filed under the name uncultured bacterium. RNAcentral describes it as "bacterial SSU rRNA". It matches the Rfam family "Bacterial small subunit ribosomal RNA", at positions 28 to 334 of the family's 1533-position model. The record is from RNAcentral.